Molecule: long non-coding RNA, 1828 nt
Organism: Glycine soja
Lineage: Eukaryota; Viridiplantae; Streptophyta; Magnoliopsida; Fabales; Fabaceae
Exons: 6
Source: RefSeq, a predicted model, not a curated record
UUCACAAACUUUGUGUUCGUUCCUCUUCUUCUCGCUCAGUGUUCUCUUUCUUCUUCUUUCCUCUUCCCUUUUCCCUCUCUCCACCUUCUCCCCGACACGACCACCACCCCCAACUCCACAUUCCUCCUCCGCCCCCAUUCUCCUAUCCUCCAGUGGAACCGUUAAAACCCUAACCCCCAAAAAACCCAAACCCCCCACUGUUUGGGCUUCUCGGUGGCUGCCAUUGAUGCCGACGCUGGCUUUCACAACUUUGACCUCAUCCUCAAACUCGAGAACCACGUCAACUACACCGUCAUCGAGGUCCUCAACGGUGAUUGCCGCCUCGGCCAAUCCCUCGUCCGCGACAAGCGCUAGUCCAACUUUCAGAGCAAUGUAGCGACUCUGCGAAAGUGAGUCAGGGAGAGGUUUGUCUGAGGCAGUGAAAGAGAUUCAGACUUGAAUUUUUCUAGGUCAUGGCUAGAAUUCCUUUUUUUCUUAAUUUUUUUUUAUAAAUUUUCUCUGAUGGGUUGUGUUUCUUUCGAUCUCACUAGGGUGCAAACCCGCGCUGUAUUUCUUUCUUUUCAUUCUAGCGUGGAGGUGAGUUCUACUGUUUAGGUGCAGAAAUAGUGGGAAAUUAUGAAUAAAGCAAGCUUGGUGGGUGGCAUUAUGAUUGAAACUAAGCAAGUGGAUAGCAUAAUGAUUAAAGCAAAGACCACUCUUUCCUCGGGUUAUAUUUGGUUGCUUGGCUUUGUCCUUUUUUCCUUGUCCUCAGCAUAGACAAUAAUAUGAGUAAUAGAGAACAAAAUAUUUGUCGAGUGAUACGCCGCUCAGAAAAGCGAUAGAUAGGGAAACAGCGAAGGGGUAGGCAAUAUUUUGUGGUUAGGAUAAGGUGGGUGGUUGUAGAAGCUUUGGUGAACAACAGUUGUGGUGUGUUGAGGAAUAAUUAAUUACUCAUAAAACACACAAUUGAUUUCCGUCGAACAAAUUUAUUGUAGAUUUGUGACACAAAAAUUGGAAGCUCAAUCUUCAUUUAUGGCCAAUUUUGUUUUGUUACAGCUGAGUUUGUGACAGGAUCAAUAGCAUGGCUUGGCAGAGGUCUGUCCUGAAUUUGUGCAUAGAGAAGAGAAAGCGAUGACAGACCCUCUUUUGAUUUAACUCCAGCCCAAGAGGAGUGCUUACAGAGGCUACAGAAUCGCAUUGAUAUUCCAUGUGAUGGUUCUAUCCCUGAGCACCAGGAUGCCCUAAGAGCUUUAUGGAGUGCUGCAUUUCCUAAAGAAGAACUCCAUGGUUUGAUUUCUGAGCAGUGGAAGGAUAUGGGUUGGAAAGGGAAGGAUCCAUCAAUAGAUUUUAGGUUUUACCAGACACAUUUUUUGCGUUUCUUUUAGACCCUAAUUCCCCAAGGAAACCCUUUCAAGACCUUUUACGGAAGCAUGAAGGAGAUCUAUCAGUGUGGGAAUAUUCAUUUGUUGUUGUUGGUGUUAACAUCACAUUCAUGCUUAUUCAGAUGCUGGAUCUUGAAGCAGAAAACGAUUCAGCUUUUGAUUUUCUCUAUUGCAACAUUCAAGAUGAUGGAUCAAAAUAUAUUGGGAGCAUACAGUCCAUAUUAAAGCCCAAUCCCAACCUACGUGGCAUGCCGAGAAAAUAGCCCGUACUUGAAAAGAUUCUCCACAAUGGACCAAACUUAGGAUUAGAGAGUAGAAAUCCUCACCAUUCGUGGAAGUUUCUAUUAGAGAGGUACACAUGCAUCUUGUGUCUUUCUCUCUCUCCUAACAGAGCCUCUCAUUAAAUCAAAAAAAGACUAAUCCAUAUUCUCGCCAAUCUUUUUUUUUUUCAAUUUGUUGGAAUCAAA